This 71-nucleotide transfer RNA is filed under the name Marmota monax (woodchuck). RNAcentral describes it as "tRNA.Ser". It matches the Rfam family "tRNA". Rfam says of the family: Transfer RNA (tRNA) molecules are approximately 80 nucleotides in length. Their secondary structure includes four short double-helical elements and three loops (D, anti-codon, and T loops). Further hydrogen bonds mediate the characteristic L-shaped molecular structure. tRNAs have two regions of fundamental functional importance: the anti-codon, which is responsible for specific mRNA codon recognition, and the 3' end, to which the tRNAs corresponding amino acid is attached (by aminoacyl-tRNA synthetases). tRNAs cope with the degeneracy of the genetic code in two manners: having more than one tRNA (with a specific anti-codon) for a particular amino acid; and 'wobble' base-pairing, i.e. permitting non-standard base-pairing at the 3rd anti-codon position. The record is from RNAcentral. Lineage: Eukaryota; Metazoa; Chordata; Mammalia; Rodentia; Sciuridae.
GGGGUUGUGGCUCAGUGGUAAAGCGCUCGCCUACUGUGUGUGAGGCCCUGGGUUUGAUCCUCAGCACCACA